This 433-nucleotide ribosomal RNA is filed under the name uncultured bacterium. RNAcentral's name for it is "partial 16S ribosomal RNA". It matches the Rfam family "Bacterial small subunit ribosomal RNA", at positions 29 to 507 of the family's 1533-position model. The record is from RNAcentral.
AGCGAACGCUGGCGGCAGGCUUAACACAUGCAAGUCGAGCGGGCACUUCGGUGUCAGCGGCUGACGGGUGAGUAACACGUGGGAACGUACCCUUUGGCUCGGGAUAACGCUGGGAAACUAGCGCUAAUACCGGAUACGCCCUUUUGGGGAAAGGCUUGCUGCCGAAGGAUCGGCCCGCGUCUGAUUAGCUUGUUGGUGGGGUAAUGGCCUACCAAGGCGACGAUCAGUAGCUGGUCUGAGAGGAUGCUCAGCCACACUGGGACUGAGACACGGCCCAGAAUCCUACGGGAGGCAGCAGUGGGGAAUAUUGGAAAAUGGGCGCAAGGCUGAACCAGCCAUGCCGCGUGAGUGAUGAAGGCCUGAGGGUUGUAAAGCUCGUUUGUCCGGGACGAUAAUGACGGUACCGGAAGAAUAAGCCCCAGCUAACUUCGUG